AUUCAAGAUAAAAUCUAACCUUCUGUUUCCAUCAUCUUGUACAGAGAAGGUCUAUCUGUGAAGAGUCCCAAGUGAACAGGAUCCUUUGAAAAAGAUGCUAGAUCUUCCUUCAUGUCUAAAAGAAUGGGGAGAAAAGAUACUGCCAUUCUAAUCCUGAACAGAUACCAACCUGGUUUUAUGGGAUCCUUCCGCACAGGCAGAGUUUUGAUGGUUGAGGAAGAUUUUGGAACGUCUGCUCCAGAAGCAGUUUGUGGACAUGAAGGCAAAACCUUGUGAACUGCAGCAAAGAAAAGAACUAUUUUUGUCUAAAGCCUAACAGAACUGACCAUAUUUGCACAGGCUAUGAAUAAAAAUAAUCAGAAAGAAGGCUUGGCAAAUGUAGUGUGAAAGAGAUGGCUUGGCCUGGAAUCAUAUUGGGUUCCAGGGGAUGGCAUUAAAGGCGAGCAUACUGACACUGAAGACAAUAAAGUGCAAAGAGGAAUUCUGGGAAUGGAGCCUAUGAAUGGUACUGAAGCAGGGUCCUUGCUGGCUCAGAAAUCAGAAUGAGAAAGGACUACAGACAAAGGGGCUAUGGAACAAAAACCCCAUGUUGCAUUGCUUCUUAUCAAGGACUGCUGUUCCUAUGGCAUCUGGAAGGUGAAAGCAUUCAAACAUAAUUGCAUGACCAGUAAAAUUUUGGCCAUGUUUGUUCUUUUCCAUCAUGUAGGUGAAGUGACAACUGGGCAUCUGGAUCUUACAUCAUAAGUACUGCCAGGAAGUAAUAAGUUCCUGGGCUUCUCAAAAAAUGACAAAGAAAAUGGCAAUACAAUUGAAAAAAACAAGGGAAAUGGAAGAAAAAAAGGUGAUGAACAAAAAAGAAAAAAAGAAGAAUUAUCGGAAAGAAAUACCGCUAAGCACAAAGGCUCACACAAAGGAAUGGAAGGUGUUAAGAAUAUAAGAGGGAAUUACAGGUGAUGAGAGAGAACCGUGUGGGUGUAAUGGUAGGUUUGCUGCCACUACCCCAAAUUAAAGUUUGAGGAAUUG
Molecule: long non-coding RNA, 1023 nt
Organism: Anolis sagrei ordinatus
Lineage: Eukaryota; Metazoa; Chordata; Lepidosauria; Squamata; Anolidae
Source: RefSeq, a predicted model, not a curated record